RNAcentral lists this ribosomal RNA (495 nucleotides) under uncultured bacterium. Its description in RNAcentral is "partial 16S ribosomal RNA". It matches the Rfam family "Bacterial small subunit ribosomal RNA", at positions 28 to 505 of the family's 1533-position model. The record is from RNAcentral.
GAUGAACGCUGGCGGCGUGCCUAAUACAUGCAAGUCGAGCGAACGGACGAGAAGCUUGCUUCUCUGAUGUUAGCGGCGGACGGGUGAGUAACACGUGGAUAACCUACCUAUAAGACUGGGAUAACUUCGGGAAACCGGAGCUAAUACCGGAUAAUAUUUUGAACCGCAUGGUUCAAAAGUGAAAGACGGUCUUGCUGUCACUUAUAGAUGGAUCCGCGCUGCAUUAGCUAGUUGGUAAGGUAACGGCUUACCAAGGCAACGAUGCAUAGCCGACCUGAGAGGGUGAUCGGCCACACUGGAACUGAGACACGGUCCAGACUCCUACGGGAGGCAGCAGUAGGGAAUCUUCCGCAAUGGGCGAAAGCCUGACGGAGCAACGCCGCGUGAGUGAUGAAGGUCUUCGGAUCGUAAAACUCUGUUAUUAGGGAAGAACAUAUGUGUAAGUAACUGUGCACAUCUUGACGGUACCUAAGCAGAAAGCCACGGCUAACUACG